UUAAAGGAAAUUACACAAAUUUCAAUAAUUUAUUUUUUGUCCUACCACUUGCCCAGCGACAUUUCAAUUUGUUUAAGAGGGAAUUGAGUCAUUGCUUUGUAUGGGUUUUCCUGAUAUUUAAAAGCUAAAGAAUGGCUUUUGGAGUGAAAUAUAAUCAGACGAAUUCUUAGUCCCAGGAAGCUAAGCUGUGGGCACACCAAGAGCUUGUCUCAUCAUUCUGUGAGCACAUACAAGCAGAAGUCCUGAGCCAUGAUUCUCCAAUGAUAAAAAUUUCGUUCUUAUGAUUAGGUGUGACGGAACGAAUAGACAAGCGAUUGAUGAAUGCAUUAUCUAUUCAAGGACAGAUUUUCUCCAUUAAAAAAGUUAGGAUUUUUCAGACGGUCGUGCAAAGGCGGGGAGAUUAGGACAAACCAGACUAAACAUCGAAUGUCGUAUACAGGAAUGUAACCUGAACAAUCACCAGUCCUUCUAUAAAUAAAAAUCGGCAAUUAUAACAUAUGGUUUAUCAACGAUACAAGACACCAUCCCUAGGUAGUCACAAGUUCAUGGAUGUAGCUUACAGGGUUUCACAAAAGUUUGCGAUGUUUUAACUUUGUUCGUUUUUGUUUUAUAAAUGUGAAAUUUUGCUCGCA
Onthophagus taurus is the source of this 632-nucleotide non-coding RNA. NCBI's taxonomy places the organism in Eukaryota, Metazoa, Arthropoda, Insecta, Coleoptera, Scarabaeidae. The record is from RefSeq and is a predicted model, not a curated record.